This 1309-nucleotide unclassified non-coding RNA is filed under the name Hevea brasiliensis (rubber tree). The record is from RNAcentral. Lineage: Eukaryota; Viridiplantae; Streptophyta; Magnoliopsida; Malpighiales; Euphorbiaceae.
AACAGAUGAUGCUGAUCUCCUUGUUCAACCUUUUGAUUCUUUGACUACUGAUUCUGAGCCAGCUUCAAGAUAUCUACAAGCUGUAUCUCAAAUUUCCAGAAAUUCUCAGCUGGAAGAAUCUUCAUUUCCUCCUCUUGCUGCGCCUCCUGUUAAUAGUCAACCAAGACCUCAGUCUGAUGCACCCAUGAACACUAUGGCAUCACAUCUACGCCGAAAGCAAAACAAAAGUACAAAGCUUCCUAAUUCAUCUCCUGCAUGGCCAGCAACAACCGGUCACUCACCACCGGUAAUUGGUCAUCAGCCUGCCUGGCCUGUGAUAAGUAGUGCUUCUGGAUCAUCAUCUAAUUCCAGGCAUAGUAAGGCAGUCGUGAACAAACCUUCUGCACCAGUAAUUACCCGUGGACAAGCUUGGCCUGCUGUUAAUAGUGCUUUUGGAUCAGCAUCAGGCUCUACUCAGGUUAAAACGUUGACAGCAGCAGAUGGACCUCCAUCAUCUAGUCAUUUGAACUCUGUUGCUUCUCGAUCUUCAUUAGCACAUGAAUCAUCUUCUAGCUCCGUUGGUUCAUCCAGGAGUUGGGCCCACAGCAAUCGAAUUAGCCAUUCCUCGUCAGCCCCAAACCUUGUUCAGAGUGGGUCUUUUGACUCUUCUACUACUGAUUUUCCUCCAGUCUCUGCUGCACAGUCUGGCAAACUUCCUGCAAGUGGCCAGCAGGCAGUUACAAAUGUGGAAGAUGUUCAAACCGCAAAUAAAUCUUUGGUAGAAAGGAUGCAUAUUGCUCUAGAUUUUGAUCAAGACAAAUUCACUGCAUUUAAGGACAUCUCUGCGGAAUAUCGUCAAGGUUUAAUUGAUGCUGAGACAUAUCUGGCAUAUGCCGCGCAGUUUGGCUUGUCACAUCUCGUUCUUGAGUUGGCUAGACUAUGCCCUGAUGCUGAAAGGCAAAAAGCAUUAAUUGACACCUAUAAUGCUAAUUUAGGAGGCACUGUCCCUAUACAGAAUCGUCAAAGUGGUAUCAAUCGCUUGAAAGAUGGUAGAAGUUCAAAGAAUGGUAAAGGCAAGUCAAUAGAUGCUGGAAGUGUUACUUCAAAGGAUAUUGUGGCAGAUAACAUUUUAAGUACUGUGAGGAAAUUGCAGUCUAGCCAUAAGAUUCCUGAAGAUGAUGUGGAAGUUUUGUCUAGAGAUGGUUAUCGGUCUGCUAAAGGUAAAUCAAAAUUGACUCCGAAUGAAUCCGAGGAAGAAUUGAACUCCCGAGGCAAGCCUUUAAAGCUGGAUGCCCGCCAGAAUGACUUGUCUGCUAAAGAUGAGUCAAAU